Molecule: ribosomal RNA, 428 nt
Filed under: uncultured bacterium
Lineage: Bacteria
Description: bacterial SSU rRNA
Rfam family: Bacterial small subunit ribosomal RNA
Source: RNAcentral
UGGGGAAUAUUGCGCAAUGGUCGAAAGACUGACGCAGCGACGCCGCGUGUGGGAGGAAGCCUUUCGGGGUGUAAACCACUGUCAGGGGGGAAGAAUCCCGGAUGUUCGAAUAGGGCAUCCGAUUGACGGUACCUCCAGAGGAAGCGCCGGCUAACUCCGUGCCAGCAGCCGCGGUAAGACGGAGGGCGCAAGCGUUGUUCGGAAUUACUGGGCGUAAAGCGCACGCAGGCGGCCUGUUAAGUCCUUUGUGAAAGCCCGGGGCUCAACCCCGGAACUGCAUCGGAUACUGGCAGACUGGAGACUGGUAGAGGCUAGCGGAAUUCCUGGUGUAGCGGUGGAAUGCGUAGAUAUCAGGAAGAACACCUGUGGCGAAGGCGGCUAGCUGGGCCAGUUCUGACGCUGAGGUGCGAAAGCGUGGGGAGCAAACA